CUCUAUGCAAGUGUGAUUUGAGAUCCAUCAAUCCCCAUAGUUGGCUUUGUUUUUUUUGUUUUUUUGUGAAUCUUUACUUUACAAGGACUCCACGCUAUAAAAGUCACGAAAAUCAGAACCGCAAUGACAGAAAGGAGAGUCAUUUUUGCCUGUGAUUUCAAAAAUAAAACGCCCGGUCAACAUCUAUGGAAUUUGAUCUUCUUGUUUUCAAUUGUGCUUGCAAUCAUGAUGAUGAUGACAGAUCAAAAUCAAAUAAUUGCUCCCACUAAAAUCGCUUACAUCAAGGAAAUUACUCACCCAAUGGAACCCCUCAACGUCUCGCAUCCAAGAUGGAAUUUAGACCAAAUGCAUGAUGAUUGGCGUAAGGGAAAGAUCCAAGGUCAUACCAUAUUUGUUUACUCUGCUUUCUUGGAUGAGCGAAAUGCCUCUUACCCGUUCAUUCGAGUUUUAAGUGCUUCCCCUCAGAAUUACGCUCUUGACUUACCCCACAUCGUUUGUGACAUUUUUCAAGAGGACGGCCAACUGCUGGCUACGUUGCCUAUUAAUAUUCAGUUUCGGCAUUGCUGUGAGAAGAAGCCUUACUUUUUCCUAAGUUAUGAAUGUGACCUCUCCCGAACGUCCAAAUCAAUCCGACUAGCGGCUGAAUGGGUCAGCCUGAAGAGCAUAAAUCCGCCUGAUCAAACUAACACCUCAACGCCAAACCUAAAGAUUCAUACAUUACCACGCCUGAAUUCAAAGGAUAUUGCAGGAACGUUUGUGGUUUGCGUAAGACCGUUCUUUCGCAACUGGAAUUCCACUUUUCAAUUGAUCGAAUUCUUAGAGAUGUACAAGAUUUUAGGGGUCUCUCAUUUUGUGUUUUAUGAUUACCAAAUUGGCAAGGGGGCUAAAAUUGUUUUGAACCAUUACGAGGCCCAAGGUUUGGUCACUGUCCUUCAAUGGACUCUUAAGCUCUCUACCCAACACAUUUUAGCAAUCGGUCAAAUCGUCUCCAUCAAUGAUUGCAAGAUGAGAGCCAUUAAUCGUUUCGAGUUUCUUAUCCACGUGGACGUUGAUGAGUUUCUUUUACCAAGAAAUGACCUCAUGAGUUUAAUGAUCUAGUUAAGACCAUCCAUCAGGAGGGUGCAAAACGAAAUACUUCAGACAUUGGCUCUUACGCCUUCCAGAAUGAACUUUUUCCUAAGGAUUUCAGUGAAGCUCAGAUUGUUAUUCAGGAGUUCGUCAAAAGCCACCCAGGAAUUACUUUGGAUAAGAUGAUGUACAAAUUACGGACACAAGCACUCGUUCAUAAGUUGACAACAUUCUUCCCUUUUCCAAAGAGAUCCAAAUAUAUAGCUCGCCCAAAUGCCACUGAUUUCUUAACCAUGCAUCUUGUCGCAGAUUUUUCCAUGGGAUAUAGGAACUACAUCGUUCCUCUUCAUCUGGGAUCAUCUCAGCAUUAUCGGGAAUGCUUAGGAGGAUCAGAAGACGUUUGUCAAAAGAUGAAAAAAGAACUGGACACCAACGGAUGGAAGUGGUCCCAUGUCUUGAUUCCAGCAGUUCAAAGGGCAUGCCUGCAACUCCGUUCCCAAAACAUAGAAGGUUGUUUAAAAGCAAAUCUGGAGGAUUGAUCAAACAUUUGUCAUAUUAAUAAAUCAUCGUCGCAUUGGUAAAUUCAUAGCCAAGUGAAUGGUAACGUGUUGGUGUGAACAGAUCUUUCACAAUUUCACAUCACAAUAGUUUAGGUUAGGUUAGGGCUAGCCUUGCCACGAUUUCAAAUGUGAGCCACCUGGGUGGUUUUUCCUCUUUCCUGGGACGUCCUAGGACGCGUUUUUGCAUGUGUCUUUGAAGGGGGAUCGAGAACGCCUCC
Molecule: RNA transcript, 1846 nt
Organism: Tigriopus californicus
Lineage: Eukaryota; Metazoa; Arthropoda; Copepoda; Harpacticoida; Harpacticidae
Exons: 4
Source: RefSeq, a predicted model, not a curated record